RNAcentral lists this ribosomal RNA (253 nucleotides) under uncultured prokaryote. RNAcentral describes it as "partial 16S ribosomal RNA". It matches the Rfam family "Bacterial small subunit ribosomal RNA", at positions 524 to 776 of the family's 1533-position model. The record is from RNAcentral.
UACGAGGGGGGCAAGCGUUGUUCGGAAUUAUUGGGCGUAAAGGGCGCGUAGGCGGUGCGGUAAGUCACCUGUGAAACCUCUGGGCUUAACCUCGAAACUGCAUUCCAUACUGCGGUGCUUGAGGACUGGAGAGGAGACUGGAAUUUACGGUGUAGCAGUGAAAUGCGUAGAUAUCGUAAGGAAGACCAGUGGCGAAGGCGGGUCUCUGGACAGUUCCUGACACUGAGACACGAAGGCCAGGGGAGCAAACGGG